This 253-nucleotide ribosomal RNA is filed under the name uncultured bacterium. RNAcentral's name for it is "partial 16S ribosomal RNA". It matches the Rfam family "Bacterial small subunit ribosomal RNA", at positions 524 to 776 of the family's 1533-position model. The record is from RNAcentral.
GACAGAGGGUGCUAGCGUUGUUCGGAAUUACUGGGCGUAAAGGGCGCGUAGGCGGCCCGUUUAGUCGGGUGUGAAAUCCCGGGGCUCAACCCCGGAAUGGCAUUCGAUACUGGCGGGCUAGAGACCGGAAGAGGUGGGUGGUAUACCCAGUGUAGAGGUGAAAUUCGUAGAUAUUGGGUGGAACACCGGUGGCGAAGGCGGCUCACUGGUCCGGUUCUGACGCUGAGGCGCGAAAGCGUGGGGAGCAAACAGG